This 318-nucleotide ribosomal RNA is filed under the name Triticum aestivum (bread wheat). RNAcentral describes it as "partial small subunit ribosomal RNA". The record is from RNAcentral. Lineage: Eukaryota; Viridiplantae; Streptophyta; Magnoliopsida; Poales; Poaceae.
UUUGCAGUCUGGGGGCUUGACAUGGUUGGGCCUUUCAAAAGGUCCAAAGAUAAAAAGACCCACCUCUUGGUGGCAGUUGAUAAAUUUACAAAGUUGGUUGAGGUAGAGCCAGUCAGUAAGUGUGAUGCAGCUAAGGCAGUUCAGUUCAUGAAGAAGGUGAUAUUUCGCUUCCGCUUUCCACACAGCUUUAUAACUGACAAUGGCACUAAUCUUUCUAAAGGCGCCAUGGAAGAAUUUUGUCAAUGUGAGCAUAUUCGGCUUGAUGUUUCAUCAAUGGCUCACCCCCAAUCCAAUGGUCAAGCUGAGAGAGCCAAUUAG